Lytechinus pictus (painted urchin) is the source of this 2603-nucleotide long non-coding RNA. RefSeq lists it as uncharacterized. The transcript has 2 exons. The record is from RefSeq and is a predicted model, not a curated record. NCBI's taxonomy places the organism in Eukaryota, Metazoa, Echinodermata, Echinoidea, Temnopleuroida, Toxopneustidae.
AACCUAUAGGAAGACUUGGAGAAAUGUGGGACUCCAAUACACAGGGUUCCCAGCCAACGAAUUGUUAACUAGGUAGAAGGAUUAUAAAGGCCGCUGAUUGGCUCCUCCGGUGCGAGCCGGCGGCCAUCUUGGAUAGCGCAUGAAAUGAAAAGAAUGAGCUUCCGAUCGUACGUGCUUUACCAUGUUUACAAUGAAAGAUAUCAUCAUCAUCCUUUAAAAUGCCUUCUUGUGCCGCAAUCAACUGUACUAAUCGACUCGUGAAAGGGUCAGGAAAAACAUUUCACAAAUUUCCCAAAGCUGGUUCAGCCCAUCUAAAGGAAUGGCUGGUCAAGAUGAAAAGAGACAAGUGGACACCGAGCAAGUAUGCCACCCUGUGCUCAGACCACUUUGAAGCAGAGUGCUUUGACCGCACUGGCCAGACAACCAGGCUCCGUCAUGGUGCAAUUCCAACCAUAUUCAACUUCCACCGGCAAAGGAUUUUUUUUUUUUUUUUUACCAGAUUGCAAAAUUUGGGAAUGGAAGUGCCAGCAACUUUCCCUUGUUUUAUGCAUGCUACAAAUUACAAAAAAUACAUCUUUCCAGAAAAAAUUGUAAUUCAUGCUGAUGCCUUUAGAAGUUUAGCCAGCAUGCAACUGAUGCAAGGAAACAAGCACAGAAUGUCUGUCCAUUCAAACACCAAUAGUGUGCAUGUCUCACACAAUUUGUAAAUAUGUAGCCUUAAUGGUGUUGCAUUAUUAAAACAUUGACUUUCCUUAUCAUUGCAAUGUUAAUUAUUGUUAUCCAUUCAGGCUGAUGAAUGAUCUUAACAAGAAAACUUAAAGACUUGAUCAUGUGUAUAGUACCGUAAUGUGUAUUCAAAACAUGCCUUUAUUAGUGUUGCAAUAUAAACAUUUCAUUGGACUCUUUCUUUAUCAUUACAAUAUGAACUAUUACCAGGUAUAUCCGUCUGGACUGAUGGUUUUAUCAAGACAACUAGCACAAAAUGUCUGUCCGUUCAAGCACCAUGAAUUCUAGUAGAGUGUGCAUGUCUCACACAAAAUUGGAAAUUUAUAGCAUAAGCCUUGAUCAUGUGUUCAGUGCCAAAAUUUCUAUUCAAAACUUGCCUUGAUAGUGUUGCAAUAUUUACAUUUCAUUUGACUCUUUCAUUAUUGCAAUAUCAAUACAUGUACUUAUUGAUAAUCCAAAAGAAUUUUAUCAAGACAGCUAGCACAAGAUGUCUAACCAUUCAAGCACCGUAUAUUCAAGUAUAGUGUGCAUGUCUCACACAAAAUUGUAAAUUUAUAGCUUAAGCCUUGAUCAUGUGUUCAGUGCCAAAAUAUCUAUUCAAAACUUGCCUUAAUAGUGUUGCAAUAUUUUGUCUCUUUCAUUAUUGCAUUAUGAAUACAUAUAAUUGUUGAUGAUUAAAAAAUAAAUGUCAUGUGUACGGGUAAAUGCCAUGUCAUUUAUUUUGUAUGCUACCUAGUGCUAGAGAAAUAAUAUAUUUUCAGGGUUAUUCUAAAUCUGCAACACAUUUUCUUUUUGAGUUUUAAAUAAAGAAAUUCUUUAUUUUGAUGAAAAUUUGAAAGCAGCUAAAUGUAUUAGUCUAUACAUACCUUGAAAUUUACAUGUAUAUGUUCACUAUGUAUUAAGUAAUACAUGUACAUAUUCCACGCUUGAAAAAUAUGUGAACAAGUAGAGGCAAAUCUGACGAACAAAACACUGAAAUUAUAUAAGUAUUGGAAGAGGAAUACAACCACAGAAAUUAUACAUGUACAGCCCACCUAUUGCAUAUUCUUCAUGGCAUGCAAAAAGCUGUUUUCAGAAAAAGUUGCCAAAAUUUGGAAUUCAAUAACUCAAUUAUUUUUUCUAAUCACAUUUUCAUUUAGAUUUCUUGUGAUUAGUGCUCAUUAAUUAGAUAUCAUUUUUAUAUUUUGAAGUACUGGUGCACCUGUAGGCAGAUGCUCCCCAUUUGCAUACUAACCAGGAUGUACUGUACCUAUAAUUGUUUAUGAUGGAAAGUGAAUUUUUUUCAGUGUUUUACAAUCUAUGUUUUGUUUGAUUUUUCUUUUAUUUAACUGAUUUUACUGGUGGGAUAAGUUUAAAUAUGUUCCAAGUUUAAAGGAAACUACAGUAUACUCUACGUGCACAAUAAUACACACAUGUACUUCCGAAUCCUUGUACUCCUAUGUUGAUUCUAUCAUACGAUAUUCAAUAUUUGCUCAAUCUCAUACUAGUACAGCAUACAUAUAACAUGCUGUGAAAUUUUGGAUAGGUACAGUAUGCGAAUUAAAUAUAGAUGUUUUUACACUUCUCGAUGAACGGUAUUCCUUAAUGAUUUUAUGCAGUUAAUUGACACAAAUAAGUUGAUUUUAUUGCUGUAACUGCAUGAAGUUCAGCUUCAGAUUGGUUUUUCGUAAAGAUUACGUUUGGCUUAUGGACGACUUGUGAUCUUGUGGAGUCAACUCAUUUCCUGAAAAUAUACAUGUAUUGUACACCACUUCAGUACUAUUUUGUUUGUGUGCUGUUCUGCAGUAUAUUUAUCUAUCAUUUCUUGUAUUUUUAACAAGAAUCUUUAUCACAUUUCUUAUUGCCACAGCUCAGAAAUAAAUAUUGUUCACAUCAAA